AAACAUCUUCAAAUGUGUUCUACCGAACUUUCUAUUCUCCUCUUAGCUUACGCGGCAUCAAUUCUUGCAUUCCUGCAGGAUGUUUUAGGGUUUAAGAGAUUAAGAGAUUAAGAGGAAAGGGCAUACUAAUAGAAAAACUGUAAACUCAGAAAACCUAGAUCUAAUGUUUAACGAGAAAAGAGAGAAAACCUGAACCAUCAGCGUUGUCAAGUCCCAUCGCGUAUUCGGUUGUAUUUGCCGUUAAUGUUCCAAUCAAUCUUCGACAAAGCAGUUGAUUGAUCGGAUCUUGAAAGGAGAGGUAUAUACUUCAGGUUUGAAGAGAGAUUGGGAAAGAAGGUUUUUUUUUUUUAAUAAUUUUG
Molecule: long non-coding RNA, 359 nt
Filed under: Trifolium pratense (red clover)
Lineage: Eukaryota; Viridiplantae; Streptophyta; Magnoliopsida; Fabales; Fabaceae
Description: long non-coding RNA (TPRA_LNC003355)
Source: RNAcentral